This 71-nucleotide ribosomal RNA is filed under the name Pestalotia lespedezae. RNAcentral's name for it is "Pestalotiopsis lespedezae partial 28S ribosomal RNA". The stretch from base 12 to 71 matches the Rfam family "Eukaryotic large subunit ribosomal RNA", at positions 1 to 60 of the family's 3401-position model. The record is from RNAcentral. Lineage: Eukaryota; Fungi; Ascomycota; Sordariomycetes; Amphisphaeriales; Amphisphaeriaceae.
UUUUUAAUGGUUGACCUCGGAUCAGGUAGGAAUACCCGCUGAACUUAAGCAUAUCAAUAAGCGGAGGAAAA